Acanthosepion pharaonis is the source of this 114-nucleotide non-coding RNA. The record is from the annotation of a GenBank genome assembly. NCBI's taxonomy places the organism in Eukaryota, Metazoa, Mollusca, Cephalopoda, Sepiida, Sepiidae.
UUACGGCUAUAUCACGUUGAAACAUUGGUUCCCAUACGGUCACCGAAGUUAAACAACGUCGAUCCUGGUCAGUACUUAGAAGAGUGACCGGUUGGGAAUACCAGAUGUUGUAAG